AUACGGAGGAUCCGAGCGUUAUCCGGAUUUAUUGGGUUUAAAGGGUGCGCAGGCGGCCAUUUAAGUCAGCGGUUAAAUCGUGGGGCUCAACCCCAUUCUGCCGUUGAUACUGGGUGGCUUGAUUGCGGUCGAGGUUGGCGGAAUUCGUUGUGUAGCGGUGAAAUGCAUAGAUAUGACGAAGAACACCGAUUGCGUAGGCAGCUGACCAGACCGCAAAUGACGCUCAUGCACGAAAGUGCGGGGAUCGAACAGGAUUAGAUACCCUGGUAGUCCGCACAGUAAACGAUGAAUACUUGUUUUCGGCGAUAUAAUGUCGGAGGCAAAGCGAAAGCGACAAGUAUUCCACCUGGGGAGUACGCCGGCAACGGUGAAACUUAAAGGAAUUGACGGGG
Molecule: ribosomal RNA, 392 nt
Filed under: uncultured bacterium
Lineage: Bacteria
Description: partial 16S ribosomal RNA
Rfam family: Bacterial small subunit ribosomal RNA
Source: RNAcentral